ACAUGCGCCAUCGUCACCAGCUACUUCUGCGCCCGCGUAUUACAACGCUACUAAAAAACAGCUUUUACGCACAUACAAUCGACCACUAUCCUCCCUCCUUUGCCUCCCCAUCACCCCAUAACGCCCUGCAAACUUGAGCCAUUUUUUCGGGACCGACUACGUCAACACACGGGCAACCAAAACAAUAGCAGCAGGUGUGUGCUAGCUGCUGUGUGUGAAAAGAAAAAAAAAACAGGCUGCCUGUGGCUUUCUCAAUGCUGGGUGUGUCGAAACACACAAAACUUGAAACUGUGGACUAGGUAAAUACGCAGGUCUGCUGCAGCUGUUUGCCCAUGCCUCCUUUUAAAAUUGAAGAUGCUACACGAAAUGAAUUCCUAGGCUAGCUGCUUCACUGGUUCGAUUCCCAAACGUCUUUAAAAUGCCCAAAGCUAGCCAGCAUUCUUCGCCUGAUCGAGAUAACGCAGUGAGCAGUACCCACAGCAAAAAAUGCUGACACAAUUUAGAAAUAAAGACAGGCUUUUCAACAGCUGAUGGUUAUCUAGAAGUGAGAAAGAGUCUCGCUCACCUUGUUCGAUGUAGUGAGCCAUCACGAGAGUGGGAACCUGCAAAGCUGUAAAAAUAAAACUGAAUGAAUGCAAGGGUUUUUUUUUUCUUUUAACAAGCAACACUUUCAAGUACAACACGGUCUCGCCGUUUACCAGGUGCGGAAUAGUUUAAUAUGCGUGACCAGAUUCGUCGCUGCAGCAAUAAUGCCAAACAAUCAGCCGAAAGAAAGGAUCGAGGUCACCGUUUCGUUGCUGUACCUUUUCGUUUAGAUUUUCUUCUUGCUCUAAUUCAUUCAAAUUAAUAUUUGAGAAUAUUGUACAAACAGUCUAAUUGUAGUAAAACACGAUAACUUAAAAACAAAAAAAAAAA
Molecule: long non-coding RNA, 915 nt
Organism: Daphnia carinata
Lineage: Eukaryota; Metazoa; Arthropoda; Branchiopoda; Diplostraca; Daphniidae
Exons: 2
Source: RefSeq, a predicted model, not a curated record